AGCAGCCGCGGUAAUUCCAGCUCCAAUAGCGUAUAUUAAAGUUGCUGCAGUUAAAAAGCUCGUAGUUGAAUUUCGGGACUAAUAUGUCGGUCGUGCCUCGGUACGUACUGGUUUAUUGGUUUCUCCUUUCUGAAGAACCAUGAUGUCAUUUAUUUGGUGUCGUGGGGAAUCAGGACUGUUACUUUGAAAAAUUAGAGUGUUUAAAGCAGGCUCACGCUUGAAUACAUUAGCAUGGAAUAAUGAAAUAGGACGUUUGAUUCUAUUUUGUUGGUUUCUAGGAUCGACGUAAUGAUUAAUAGGGAUAGUUGGGGGCAUUAGUAUUCAAUUGUCAGAGGUGAAAUUCUUGGAUUUAUUGAAGACUAACUACUGCGAAAGCAUUUGCCAAGGAUGUUUUCAUUAAUCAAGAACGAAAGUUAGGGGAUCGAAGACGAUCAGAUACCGUCGUAGUCC
This 450-nucleotide ribosomal RNA is filed under the name uncultured Glomeromycotina. RNAcentral's name for it is "SSU rRNA". It matches the Rfam family "Eukaryotic small subunit ribosomal RNA", at positions 569 to 1026 of the family's 1831-position model. Lineage: Eukaryota; Fungi; Glomeromycota. The record is from RNAcentral.